This 253-nucleotide ribosomal RNA is filed under the name uncultured bacterium. Its description in RNAcentral is "partial 16S ribosomal RNA". It matches the Rfam family "Bacterial small subunit ribosomal RNA", at positions 524 to 776 of the family's 1533-position model. The record is from RNAcentral.
UACGUAGGGGGCAAGCGUUGUCCGGAAUCAUUGGGCGUAAAGAGUGUGUAGGCGGUGCUCUAAGUUCGGUGUGAAAUCUCCUGGCUCAACUGGGAGGGUGCGCCGGAAACUGGAGUGCUUGAGCGUGGGAGAGGAAAGCGGAAUUCCUGGUGUAGCGGUGAAAUGCGUAGAUAUCAGGAGGAACACCUGUGGUGUAGACGGCUUUCUGGACCAUAGCUGACGCUGAGACACGAAAGCGUGGGUAGCAAACAGG